RNAcentral lists this long non-coding RNA (229 nucleotides) under Homo sapiens (human). RNAcentral describes it as "non-protein coding lnc-SMYD2-1:1". Lineage: Eukaryota; Metazoa; Chordata; Mammalia; Primates; Hominidae. The record is from RNAcentral.
GCAGUUGGAAAAGGAAGGAUGCCUGGGGAUGACCUUGUGCUCAUCAGCGACACCAGUCUGUCCUUUCCAAGCCUCUGUGGCAGAGCUGCUCUUCCCACAGCAAGGAUGGCAGGAGGUUAUUUCAUGCUGAAAUUAUGCCUAUUUGCAUGGAUAGUCAUUCUUUAAAGCUAGCCACAGAUGCAGUCCUAGGGAGCACGUAGAUGUUUUUACAGGUGAACCGAAAGAGAUG